UCUGGUGGAUCUUGCAGACACCCCUCCAUAAAGCAAGAGAAGACCAUUGAGUUCUCAUUUAAGUCUUUGACUCUGUUGGUUGUUGGUUGCUUUUCUUUUCUUUUUUCAGAAUUUCUAUAUAAAGCCCAGUGCAGCGCGCAUGCGCAGUUACUAGUUGCUAUAGCUCCAGAACUGAGAGUCUAAAAAUUAAAGCAGGGAAACUUCAGAGGAUACCAUGUACGCCACUACUACGUAUACCAGGGAACAAAGGCUCAAAGAGGAUGAAACAGAGGAUGGUGUCAUGACCAGGAUAGCAAGUGCUGCAGCUGCAGCCUAGGAUUCUACUAGAGAGACUUGAGACUUGAGUCAAAGUAGUCAGAAAUAAGGAGGGACCAAGAGUGGCUUCUUAUUAUAAGGCUCGAAAUAUUGGUUGUCAGAGAUAACGAAAAGAACGAUCCUUCUACGUGUGCACUGGGAGAGGAAAAAGAGACAGAAGAUAUUAUGUUAUGUUAUGGCAUACAAAUGUUCGUGGCCAUAGCAUGUACGUUUUAAGUUUCAUUUGAUGGAUAUGUAAAUUUUGACUCACUUUAUAACUAUUAUUAAAUUUUAAUGGAUAUUUCACAAUGCUCAAUCUUUGAAAUUCUAAUUUGUAUCCAUGAAUUUCCCAUGAAAACUGCUUUUCAUUUAAGGACUGGGACCAACAUAAAAAAGACAUUUAUAAGAGGCACUUCAACCUAUAAUAUACCAAUAUACCCGCUGGUAGCUAAACCACACAAAACAUAAUCGUGGGCGUGGCUGCGUUUUAGCUGAUCCAGCAAUUAUUGCUGGUCCCAGUCCUUAACCUACCUGAGAUUUUCUAUCUGUAGAUAUGUUCGAGGGAACGCUACGAAGUACUGCAACGCCUCAAACGUCAAUUAUUGAUUUCCGGGCACUUCCGUAUAGCAGAUUUCUGGAGAAGACGAGUUAGUUAGAUGAAGGCUAGGCAUUCUAGGACUCGUAAAAUGAUUUGUCAAAUUAACAAAAAAUAUAUGUACCAGUAGCGAAAAUGAAAUAACAUAAUAAUUGUUUGUUGUUUAAACAUAGAAUUCAAUUAACAAAGAUAGGUAUUGUUCCCCAGUUAUAUUAACAAUCAUAUGUCAGUUUAUUCUAUGGCUUUGUUGAUCUGACAGAUUAGUGAUAUUGUUAAAUUAACAAAAACAGGCACGUGUUGUGUUAUAUUAACAAAGGCAGGGGUGUACAUUCUACAUAGUGGUGUUAAUCCAACAGGUCCAACAGGUUGAUGUAAUGUCGUCAUGAAUACUGGUCUGUCCUUUCAACGUAAUUAUUUUAUUUUAACGAGUAAUGUUUUUUAACGUCAAUUUAAAACACGUACAAAGUGUUGUUAAUCCAACAGGUUGAUGUAAUGUCAUCACAAAUACUGGUCUGUCCUUUUAACGUAAUUAUUUUGUUUUAUUUAAUUUAAUUUUAAAAAAUACAUGCAACAAUAGUAGAAAAAUAUACAUCAUAUAUACACAUUAUUUUAUAAACAGUACUCAGUAAUCUUCCAUAUUAAUUGCCGCAGUUUCUUGUUGGUACAGUUGACUUAGACCACUGAUGUGCGUGGCCACCAUCGUUCCCCACUUAUAACCGGACACCUUGAUGCUGCCAGCCACCUUAGAGACAAGAAAGGUAAGCAAGUCUUUGGCUUUUGUGUGACAUAGUGUGACGCUACGAGAAAGUAAGUUGCUACCAUAAGAUUAUCGGUCUUCAGAGUAAGAGUUUGUGCUGAUCGUCAUCAUCAUCGUCAGUAAUUACCACAAUGUGUGGCUGAUUGUCAGCAGCUUCAGAUGGAGCUGUCCCAAUAAAAACUUACAGGCACAAAUUUCAUCACGAAUGGUAUAUCACCGUCAGGUUUUUUUUAUCUUUGUUGGCACCAUUAGGAGAGACAAACAAACACCUUAAUGCUGUCAAAACUACUUUGUCUGUGUGGGGAGUAUUUCAGUCAUACAUUAUAAAUACACACCUGCUGGAUCGUCAUCUACAGCGACUUGAAUGGGAGCCCACUUUAACAAACAUUCUUCGAAAUUAUCUCUAAGCUCAUCCUUCUGGGAUAUCAGACUGAAUUCUUGAUCAACCUAUAUGUACAUUAUUUUGUAAUUGCAAAUUAAAUAUAGUAAGGUGCAUAAAAAAAACUAUGUCGACAAUCUAGUCACCUUAAUUACUACACCUUAAUCACCUUUUUAGAAGAGGAUAAUUAUUGUUCCAAAAUUGUUUUAAGGGGAGGACACUCAGUUCUGAUCCAUUCAGUACGCGUCAGUAGUGUACGAGCCAUUAGCUCCUUCAACUGCUGGUAAUUCUGUUUUCCAGCUUUUUCUGUUUCUUCUUGACAUUUCGUUCAACAGAUGUUUCAUCAUCGGGGAUAAUAGGAUACUGAUGCUUCUCUACUCUGGGGUUUUUCUUCGGUUUUUUGGCCGGACUACAUGUAGGUUGCUCUGAUACUUUCCGAUUGAACCACUUCCAAGAGUUCUGCACAUGAAUUUUUGUAAUAUUUAGACUCCUAAUCUAUACAUGCCCCUAGUAUUUCCAUCUGUCUUUAAGAAAAUCAUGUUUGUGUACCAAUGAUUUUGCAACGAUUAAGCAUGAAGGCUUUUGGUCAUACGUCAUUAACAUUGUCGUUAACGUCUGUACCAUAUAUUUCCUGUCUGCAUCUAGCAACUUCUUGAGAGACAAAUUAUGUUCAGUACUGUGUACUGGCACGAAACGUUGGGAGGGGGAACGGAUUAGGUAUGGCCUCCUAAUGUGAACAAAGAAAACAUGGGUCGCCGAGGGCUGGACUUUAUUGAUCCGUCUGGUUGGUGGACAUCAUAUCCGGGCGCCAUAAAAAUGGUAAAACUGAGUUGCGAGUUGCACUUUAUAAAAAAUUUGGCGGUGUGGCUGCACUUGUAUGUAUUCCAGAAAUUGUAAAGUUGUAUAUUUCACUGUAGCUCCACCCCUGAAAGUCCUGAAAGUCACAUGACUUUAAAAACACGUUCAACAUGUUCCUUCAUUAUAAGACUACAUUAUUGCAAAGUUCCAAAAGAUAUAUUCACAUAUACCAAUAUAUCCCAAUAACCUUAACGACACUGGUGCCCGAUAUCAAUCCAUGUGUGAAAUUAUAAAAAAACUGUGCGCUUGAUCAGCAUGUCAAAAAGACAGCAACGUGCUGGACCUCGUACUACUCAGGUAAGGUUAAGGCAGCUUUUUUUGCAAAACACCAUUAAGUAUUAGCCAUAUAUUGCACUGGAGCAAUAGGCAUGUUGCACGAUGCACGAGUGCACGAGGGCGCCUGCAAUAACUAACUUGUUACCCAAUGACGUUGACAUGUGUACAUGUGUUUUGAAGGAAUUUAGUGUAUUCAUUAGUAUUCAUAUUCAUUAGUAUUCAUUAGUUUUGCUGAAUUCCAUGUUCCCACUAGUACCUAUAAAAGGGACCAAAUGAGUUAUAGGGUGGGCAUAAGUAGUGGGUGGGCAUAAGUAUUGGGUGGGCAUAAGUCCCAAAUGGAUAUCUCUUAACCGCCAAUAACGCCUAUUGGCGUCACUCAGGUAAGUAUAUAUGCAGUCAAAAACUCAUACUAUGUUUUUGCAAUACCUGCUUGAAUAUGCAGCUAAAUUAUUGGCAUAAACAAACACUUUCAAAAAUUAUAUAGAACUCUAGACCAGUGAGGAGGUGCUGCAAGAAAUUCUGGACAAUGGGGACCUGCAGAGAUUGACAUAGAAGAUCUAACAGCUGAGUACAGCAAAAUAGACAGAGACGUGCCAGUCAUGGAGGGCAGUGAUGAUGAAUUUUCUGAUCAAUAACAGUUUAGAGAGGAGUUACAUUACUCCAACCAACAAAUAAAAUAGCUUCACUCAAUGCAUGGACUAACAACAAUAAUUACAACAAUAAUUAUUAGCAAAAAUGUAGAUCUGGACAGGACAUGACACUGAGGAAUUCGAAUACUGCUGACCACCACUGUUGUGACAGUCCUACCACGAACGUCAACCUUCCUGUACAAAAGGUGAAGGGGCACUGGGCAGUGACAGCAAGUACUCACGGAAGUACUCACGGACAGCAGUAGCCACAGACACAGACACUUUUACCUAUUGUUACGCAAAGAAUUAUAUUAUUGUUAUACUUGAUAGUCAAAAAAAUGUUUUCAAGGCUCAAAGAAUGAAAGGAGAGGCUAUUACUUUACUAUUUCAAAAAACACUAUAGGUUAGUAGUCAACACACAUAAUAUGUACCCUGGCUCACCUCGCUGCUACUGCCACUGUUCCUCUGUUCACGUUCACUGUACAUGUACAUAUGUGGCCCCAUCUCUGAUUAUUGGAUCCAGCCACACCUAAACGUAGUGUAUGUACGUACACAAAGAAGGCUAAUCAAUGCUUUUCAGCACUAAAAAUUCUAGAUACAACUACUAUCUAUCAUGUACAGUCAGUACUAACCAUAAAGCUUCUAGCGAUUCUACAUACAAUGUAGGCAUGCAAAACAGUACUGUAUGCAACUACAACCAAUUGAAUUUUUAAUAUUUUAAUCUUACGGCCUGUCUAUAAUAGGUGUAAUAGGUGAUGCAGGCCCUAAAGAAGACUCUAAACAUUCAGUAGAGUUAACACAUACAGCUUAGGAAGCUUGUUAUAGCUUGUACUCACUUUUUUGCCACUGCCAGUGCUGCCUCUGAUAGCAUCAUCUGUCCGCACAAACUUUCUUAUAAGUUAGCCUUGCAC
Molecule: long non-coding RNA, 4699 nt
Organism: Halichondria panicea
Lineage: Eukaryota; Metazoa; Porifera; Demospongiae; Suberitida; Halichondriidae
Exons: 4
Source: RefSeq, a predicted model, not a curated record